AUGACCCUGCAUCAGGACAAUUUGAUUUUUGGAGGACAAAGGUUAGACAAGGAUGAGAAUGGGAUACCAGAUUACAGCGAUGGAGGCUCGGACAUGGAUCUGCUCAUGCUCUCAGCGGGAAUACUGGAUGUUCUCGAAGCUUUGCCAUACACACGUGCUACUUUUGGCACUUGCGUGGGCUCCAGUUUGUGUCAAUGCAAUUUGCAUCUGUCAGCGGACUAUGGCGAUCAGGAACCAGGUGCUAUAAUGCACCAAUGCUGCUUUCUGAUGAUGACGGCAAUGCCAAACGCACCAUCACCUGAGGUCUAUGCGAUUGGCGGGGAUGGAACCAUGAGAGGAGCAGUGGCGAUAUUCAAAUAUUCAAAGAGUUUAAACGGCAUGGUUUGA
Molecule: ribosomal RNA, 387 nt
Filed under: Triticum aestivum (bread wheat)
Lineage: Eukaryota; Viridiplantae; Streptophyta; Magnoliopsida; Poales; Poaceae
Description: partial small subunit ribosomal RNA
Source: RNAcentral